RNAcentral lists this ribosomal RNA (301 nucleotides) under uncultured bacterium. Its description in RNAcentral is "partial 16S ribosomal RNA". It matches the Rfam family "Bacterial small subunit ribosomal RNA", at positions 509 to 807 of the family's 1533-position model. The record is from RNAcentral.
CAGUCGCCACGGUAAUACGUAGGUGGCAAGCGUUGUCCGGAAUUAUUGGGCGUAAAGCGUGCGCAGGCGGUUGUGUAAGACAGGUGUGAAAUCCCCGGGCUUAACCUGGGAACUGCGCUUGUGACUGCACAGCUAGAGUAUGGCAGAGGGGGGUGGGAUUCCACGUGUAGCAGUGAAAUGCGUAGAGAUGUGGAGGAACACCGAUGGCGAAGGCAGCCCCCUGGGCCAAUACUGACGCUCAUGCACGAAAGCGUGGGGAGCGAACAGGAUUAGAGACCCCUGUAGUCCCUGUCUCUUAUAC